This 885-nucleotide ribosomal RNA is filed under the name uncultured bacterium. Its description in RNAcentral is "bacterial SSU rRNA". It matches the Rfam family "Bacterial small subunit ribosomal RNA", at positions 56 to 948 of the family's 1533-position model. The record is from RNAcentral.
UGCAGUCGAGGGGUAUAGGUUUUCGGACCUAGAGACCGGCGCACGGGUGCGUAACGCGUAUGCAAUCUACCUUUUACAGAGGGAUAGCCCAGAGAAAUUUGGAUUAAUACCUCAUAGUAUUAUUGAAUGGCAUCAUUUAAUAAUUAAAGUCACAACGGUAAAAGAUGAGCAUGCGUCCCAUUAGCUAGUUGGUAAGGUAACGGCUUACCAAGGCAACGAUGGGUAGGGGUCCUGAGAGGGAGAUCCCCCACACUGGUACUGAGACACGGACCAGACUCCUACGGGAGGCAGCAGUGAGGAAUAUUGGUCAAUGGGCGCAAGCCUGAACCAGCCAUGCCGCGUGCAGGAUGACGGUCCUAUGGAUUGUAAACUGCUUUUGUACAGGAAGAAACAGUUCUACGUGUAGAACCUUGACGGUACUGUAAGAAUAAGGAUCGGCUAACUCCGUGCCAGCAGCCGCGGUAAUACGGAGGAUCCAAGCGUUAUCCGGAAUCAUUGGGUUUAAAGGGUCCGUAGGCGGUUUUGUAAGUCAGUGGUGAAAGCCCAUCGCUCAACGGUGGAACGGCCAUUGAUACUGCAAGACUUGAAUUACUAGGAAGUAACUAGAAUAUGUAGUGUAGCGGUGAAAUGCUUAGAGAUUACAUGGAAUACCAAUUGCGAAGGCAGGUUACUACUAGUGGAUUGACGCUGAUGGACGAAAGCGUGGGGAGCGAACAGGAUUAGAUACCCUGGUAGUCCACGCCGUANACGAUGGAUACUAGCUGUUCGGAGCAAUCUGAGUGGCUAAGCGAAAGUGAUAAGUAUCCCACCUGGGGAGUACGUUCGCAAGAAUGAAACUCAAAGGAAUUGACGGGGGCCCGCACAAGCGGUGGAGCAUGUGGUUAA